GACGAACGCUGGCGGCGUGCCUAAUACAUGCAAGUUGAGCGCUGAAGGUUGGUACUUGUACCAACUGGAUGAGCAGCGAACGGGUGAGUAACGCGUGGGGAAUCUGCCUUUGAGCGGGGGACAACAUUUGGAAACGAAUGCUAAUACCGCAUAAAAACUUUAAACACAAGUUUUAAGUUUGAAAGAUGCAAUUGCAUCACUCAAAGAUGAUCCCGCGUUGUAUUAGCUAGCUGGUGAGGUAAAGGCUCACCAAGGCGAUGAUACAUAGCCGACCUGAGAGGGUGAUCGGCCACAUUGGGACUGAGACACGGCCCAAACUCCUACGGGAGGCAGCAGUAGGGAAGCUUCGGCAAGGGACGAAAGUCUGACCGAGCAACGCCGCGUGAGUGAAGAAGGGUUUCGGAUCGUAAAACCCUGUUGGUAGAGAAGAACGUUGGUGAGAGUGGAAAGCUCAUCAAGUGACGGUAACUACCCAGAAAGGGACGGCUAACUACGUG
Molecule: ribosomal RNA, 497 nt
Filed under: uncultured bacterium
Lineage: Bacteria
Description: partial 16S ribosomal RNA
Rfam family: Bacterial small subunit ribosomal RNA
Source: RNAcentral